CAGCUGGAAAAUUUUAAACUCUCACUUAAAUUUUGGUUUAAAGAAUAAAUCAAAGGUAAAAUGUCACACCCUUAGUCAAUAACCAUAAAGGAAUUUUUUUUUUUUUUGCAGCGGAUCUCUCAGCAGAAACUCCACAAGCCAGAAGAGAGUGCGGGCCAAUAUUCAACAUUCUUAAACAAAAGAAUUUUCAACCCAGAAUUUCAUCUGCAGCCAAACUAAGUGAAGGAGAAAUAAAAUCCUUUACAGACAAACAAAUGCUGAGAGAUUUUGUCACCACCAGGCCUGACUUACAAGGGCUCCUGAAGGAAGCACUAAACAUGGAAAGAACAACCGGUACCAGCCACUGCAAAAACAUGCCAAAUUGUAAAGACCAUCGAGGCUA
Molecule: long non-coding RNA, 382 nt
Filed under: Homo sapiens (human)
Lineage: Eukaryota; Metazoa; Chordata; Mammalia; Primates; Hominidae
Description: non-protein coding lnc-DDX53-2:1
Source: RNAcentral